Oryza glumipatula is the source of this 196-nucleotide non-coding RNA. Lineage: Eukaryota; Viridiplantae; Streptophyta; Magnoliopsida; Poales; Poaceae. The record is from Rfam.
UCCCGUCAUUGCUGCCAACGAGGGGGGGGGGUGCUGCAACAAGGAGAGGAGGACGGAGUGGGGCAAGUGGAGCAUCGAAGGGGAUGUCGUCGCCGCCGAAUCCGCUCGUGGGACAUCCCCUUCGACGCUUCACUCGCCCCACUCCGUCCUCUUCUCCUUGUUGCUGCACCCCCCCUUCGCUGGCUGCGACAACGGC